UGGGGAAUAUUGCACAAUGGGGGAAACCCUGAUGCAGCGACGCCGCGUGAACGAAGAAGGUAUUCGUAUCGUAAAGUUCUGUCCUAUGGGAAGAUAAUGACAGUACCAUAGAAGAAAGCUCCGGCUAAAUACGUGCCAGCAGCCGCGGUAAUACGUAUGGAGCGAGCGUUGUCCGGAAUUAUUGGGCGUAAAGGGUACGCAGGCGGUAUAAUAAGUCGAAUGUUAAAGAUCGGGGCUCAACCCCGUAAAGCAUUGGAAACUGAUAAACUUGAGUAGUGGAGAGGAAAGUGGAAUUCCUAGUGUAGUGGUGAAAUACGUAGAUAUUAGGAGGAAUACCAGUAGCGAAGGCGACUUUCUGGACACAAACUGACGCUGAGGUACGAAAGCGUGGGGAGCAAACAGG
Molecule: ribosomal RNA, 403 nt
Filed under: bacterium
Lineage: Bacteria
Also listed under: 1 other name
Description: partial 16S ribosomal RNA
Rfam family: Bacterial small subunit ribosomal RNA
Source: RNAcentral